Molecule: ribosomal RNA, 905 nt
Filed under: uncultured bacterium
Lineage: Bacteria
Description: bacterial SSU rRNA
Rfam family: Bacterial small subunit ribosomal RNA
Source: RNAcentral
ACGCUGGCGGCGUGCUUAACACAUGCAAGUCGAACGAUGAAGCCUAGCUUGCUAGGUGGAUUAGUGGCGAACGGGUGAGUAAUACGUGAGUAACCUACCUUUAACUCUGGGAUAAGCCCGGGAAACUGGGUCUAAUACCGGAUACGACCAAUCUCCGCAUGGGGUGUUGGUGGAAAGCGUUAUGUAGUGGUUAUAGAUGGGCUCACGGCCUAUCAGCUUGUUGGUGAGGUAACGGCUCACCAAGGCGACGACGGGUAGCCGGCCUGAGAGGGUGACCGGCCACACUGGGACUGAGACACGGCCCAGACUCCUACGGGAGGCAGCAGUGAGGAAUAUUGCACAAUGGGCGCAAGCCUGAUGCAGCGACGCCGCGUGAGGGAUGACGGCCUUCGGGUUGUAAACCUCUGUUAGCAGGGAAGAAGAGAGAUUGACGGUACCUGCAGAGAAAGCGCCGGCUAACUACGUGCCAGCAGCCGCGGUAAUACGUAGGGCGCGAGCGUUGUCCGGAAUUAUUGGGCGUAAAGAGCUUGUAGGCGGUUUGUCGCGUCUGCUGUGAAAGGCCGGGGCUUAACCCCGUGUAUUGCAGUGGGUACGGGCAGACUAGAGUGCAGUAGGGGAGACUGGAAUUCCUGGUGUAGCGGUGGAAUGCGCAGAUAUCAGGAGGAACACCGAUGGCGAAGGCAGGUCUCUGGGCUGUAACUGACGCUGAGAAGCGAAAGCAUGGGGAGCGAACAGGAUUAGAUACCCUGGUAGUCCAUGCCGUAAACGUUGGGCACUAGGUGUGGGGGACAUUCCACGUUUUCCGCGCCGUAGCUAACGCAUUAAGUGCCCCGCCUGGGGAGUACGGCCGCAAGGCUAAAACUCAAAGAAAUUGACGGGGGCCCGCACAAGCGGCGGAGCAUGCG